RNAcentral lists this ribosomal RNA (542 nucleotides) under uncultured bacterium. Its description in RNAcentral is "bacterial SSU rRNA". It matches the Rfam family "Bacterial small subunit ribosomal RNA", at positions 355 to 896 of the family's 1533-position model. The record is from RNAcentral.
UGAGGAAUAUUGGUCAAUGGGCGCAAGCCUGAACCAGCCAAGUAGCGUGCAGGAUGACGGCCCUAUGGGUUGUAAACUGCUUUUUAAGGGGAAUAAAGAGGGGCACGCGUGUCCUGUUGCAUGUACCCUUGGAAUAAGGACCGGCUAAUUCCGUGCCAGCAGCCGCGGUAAUACGGAAGGUCCAGGUGUUAUCCGGAUUUAUUGGGUUUAAAGGGAGCGUAGGCCGCAGGUUAAGUGUGUUGUGAAAAGCAGUCGCCCAACGUCUGCCUUGCAGCGCAAACUGUCCUGCUUGAGUGCGCACAACGCAGGCGGAAUUCGUCGUGUAGCGGUGAAAUGCUUAGAUAUGACGAAGAACUCCGAUUGCGAAGGCAGCUUGCGGGAGCGCAACUGACACUGAAGCUCGAAAGUGCGGGUAUCGAACAGGAUUAGAUACCCUGGUAGUCCGCACGGUAAACGCUGGAUGCCCGUUUUUGGCUUAUUUUAAGUCAGAGACCAAGCGAAAGCAUUAAGCAUCCCACCUGGGGAGUACGCCGGCAACGGUG